This is a small nucleolar RNA of Antechinus flavipes (yellow-footed antechinus), 137 nucleotides long. RefSeq annotates it as small nucleolar RNA SNORA29. The transcript has a single exon. The record is from RefSeq and is a predicted model, not a curated record. Lineage: Eukaryota; Metazoa; Chordata; Mammalia; Dasyuromorphia; Dasyuridae.
CUUCCCAAUUGACUAUCUUUUUUCAUUUCACAGAUUCAGUGAUUAUGCUUAUGGAAUAAAAUAUAGUUGCCAUGACAUGAUGGAAAAAAAGUAAUCAUGUCUUUUUUUUCUUACAUAUAAUGGCACAACAAUCUAGC